Mercenaria mercenaria is the source of this 3037-nucleotide long non-coding RNA. RefSeq lists it as uncharacterized. The record is from RefSeq and is a predicted model, not a curated record. The transcript is spliced from 3 exons. NCBI's taxonomy places the organism in Eukaryota, Metazoa, Mollusca, Bivalvia, Venerida, Veneridae.
AAUACGGUGUCAAGGACAGAUCAUCUCAGGUACAUCGUAUGCUUUAAUCCUACCGUUACUAAAUCUUGCUUUAUUUUAAAAUGUAUUGUUUUUUAAUUUCUGUAUGCAUAUAAUGAGUCAACAUUGUUUAAUUUCGAUUUUCAACUGUAACGAAACGGGGUUCUCUGGAAGGAAAUAUCAAAGGUAACUGGACCUAAAGGAGGGCAUGUUUUUCUCAGGCUUGUGACCAAAGCAGACCACAUCACAGCACAUCUGUGUCAGAGAGGAUGGAAGAUUCUUACCAACUAUGGGUUCACUUCCGCACCGGAAAUGCAGUGAUGGCAUACCAGACUCCUAGGGAUUUGCAAUUAGUAAAACGGUAACAUGGACACGCACAAGUUCCAACGCCGGCUCACAUAAACGUUUGUACCAUACUGUGGUCGGGAGCGACCAGUCGUACUUCUAACGGACAACUUCGACGCACGUAUCAGUGGGGAUGUAGUGGAAGCAGCCAUUGCAAAUGAUGUAGUGUUGGUUGGACUUCCAGGACACACCACUCAUAUUCUGCAGCCUCUUGAUGUUAAAACAAAUUAUCGUUCGUUUGUUACUAUUGCUGCUGCAUUGACGGUAAAGCUGGGAUUCGACGGUGCAGGAGUAACUAAUGGCAAAGCAAAAUGUCCAGUUGUUCUGAAGCACGCUAUUCAGAAGGCGACACCAGCAUCGAUUUAGGAUGCAUUCGCUGUGACAGGCAUAUGUCCACACAAUCCAUUAGCUAAACAUACGUCCCUCAUUUGAUCCUCCUUGCGAAGAUAGGAUUUAAAAACGUACAAUAACAAUGACAGUUAUAGUUUAAAAGGAGACUCUAACCGUGUUUUUAAGGGCGCUACUUUGAACCACUCUGCUAUUAAUCUUUUGUGGAAUUAUUAAUGUCUAGUUCAUCUGUCAAGAAAGCUGUCUGGCUUAUAGAUGUUUGGUGUUUCUACCCAGGUAUCAGCCCGUGUCUGGGCUGAAUGCGCGGAUGGACAACAUCUGUCUGUUCCUCAACUACGAAGUCAGUACCUCAACUGCGUUUAGUGUUAACACCCAACAAACAAAUAUUAACUUGUCACACGCAAGUUUUAACCUCUCCUUGCAUCAGUCACUUUGUUUUCUAAUUUUGCAAGAAAACGACGGACAAGUUCAAACAUGUGAAAAAUGUGGUCACUUAACAGAGCCACCAGUGAAACGGGGACUCGUACCACCUAGGCUCGCCAAUAUUCUGUUGCCAUCCCCCGUACAGCCACGCAGCGAGAAAAGAUGGUUGUUGCUUGGGGCCGCUUGAUUAGCGGCGAGUAAAUGCUCAAACAGCUGAAGUUUUAAUUUACACUUUAUAUACAUAAUUAUAUAUGACAUUUAUCAGACUUGUAGUAUAACCUGACUAUUUAUAUUUUUGUCAUACGUACCAAAUUUUCGUUAUAGCUUUCGCCAGUUAUGACUAUAAGCUUCUGUGAUUCAAGUACCUUUUCAUUAACCAUGUCAAGAAUGAUACAGAAAGUAGUUCGGACAGAGGCGAAAUACGAAUCGGAUUUAUAAUUAGGGUAUUAUGGAACUUCAGUUCUGUCAGGUCAGGAAUAAAAAUUACAGGGAAAAAAACACAGACUGAAAAGAAAAAGAAUAGAUGAGAUUGAACAGAGGAAGAAAGACAGGACAUUAACCAGGAGAAACAAAUGAUAGAGGAGAGACGAUUCAAGAGGAAUAGGAGAGAGGAAGAAAGGGAAUUGAAGUUAAAAGGAAAGAAGGGGAAAGCAGAAGAAAGUCAUGAAAGAAAGAAAGGAAAAGAUGUCGGCGCAAAUGUCACUGUGGUUUUAAUGGCCAGUAUGUGUGUUUGUGAUGUGUGCGGUGUACAUGGGUCUGUUGAUGACAAAACAAAUGGAAUACUCUGGUUUGGAUGUGGUGAGGAGUUGUGUGGACGGUGAUUUCAUGAAGCAGGUUUGGCAGAGAAUGAAAGGAUGUAAGUGAAUGAAAACUUUGAAGAAGAUGGAAGUGACUCGCGAAAAAGUGCUGUAAUAUCUUUAUUUCUGGUUCCAUUUUGCUAAAAUUUGAACCAUUGGCGGAUAUGAACAUAUUUAAUGCGAAUAUUUAAUAAUAUUUUAUCUCCUAGGCAACGUCACUACUUCAAAGGCGGUCCAAUGUCAUUAUGCCGCUGUCAUAUCACACACAUUUAAUCAAUACAAUUCCUGAAUACCAUUGGUUCAAUGUUGAUUGCCAUUAAAGGCAUUUUCUACACCUUCGUUAAAAUGAAUAAAUUACUGUUAAAUUACUGUUACAGUUAAGAUACUCCUGCCGUAUUAAUGAAAUUGGACACUGAACUGUAAUACCGUAUCAAGGAGUUAUUUAAUUUAUAAAACAUGACUGAACGUUAUUUUUCAUGCCUGUACUACGAGUCGUUAGAAAUAUUCUCCUGACCACUUUUAAACAUCCUGUUCCAUUAAUAAAAUUUUGUUUUCUUCAGGGCAUUGUACCUUAAACCUAUUGCAGCAUAGCAUUUGUCUCUUUCUUUGAUUUUCGAUUUAAAACAUAAAAUGUUAACUCAUGUCUCCGUUCACCACUGAUUUUCAUGUGAUGACCAACACAAUAUGCCUGUCAAACAUUUUUAUGAUGUCACAUUCACAAUUUGACGUUACUGUCGUCACGCUUAUACUUCACAUUCAUAUUCACCGAAUUUAAGAAUAGGUAUCUUGAAAAAAAGGUAAGUGGCAAGUAAUCUGUUGGUACAUGUAAAAUAGAAAAAGAGAUAAAAUCGGGUCGGAUGGCGUCACAUGAUGUUGCCAAAGGGAUUAACAUUUUUUAUUAUUUAUCAAAAAAAUAUAAUUUUGUAACAUCAAUUCAUUAUUCCCUAAUCUACAUUAUGUAGCAGUUACAUUCAUUUUUGAUGAUACACGAAGAAAUGAGAGCACUUGUUUUUAACACUCCUUGUAGUUUUAUGUUCCGGAACAAAAUACUUUUUCUAAGUUAGACUUUAAUUUUCUAAUAUCAUAUAUAUCUUGGACAUGUGUCGAUGUAUGUUGAGAAAAUUGUU